CUGGGCUCUGAGAAAGAGACGGGAGGCUGAGGCAGUAACCAGGAGCCAGAGCCUACUGUCCCCGUGUCCACCGACCUGGGACAGAAAUGGCAGUGUGAGGACAGAAUGGUGGAGCUUUGGGGACUCUUAGAAAGCCUCCAGUCCAGUGAUUUUCAGUCCGGGCUGCCCUCCAGAGCCACCUGAGGAGCUUCUAAAAAGGGCGGCUGACUCCCACCAGAGCAAGAAAGCAAGAAAGCAAGAAAGCAAGAGAGGACGAGACGGAAGGCAGCCUUCUUAUAAACCUAAUCUUCAAAGUGAUCUUCCGUCGUUUUCGCUCAGCCCAUUCUCAAAGGGAGAACGAACUACGCAGGGUGUGAACAUCAGGAGGUGGGAUCACCGGGGCCAUCUUGGAGGCUGCCUUCCAAGCUAGUAAAUAACCAACAGAGGCUGGAGCACAUGAAUUAGGCUUCACUGCAGGGUGAUUCAACUGGGGCGUUUACUUGGGGACCCUUGAAUGUCAAUUCUUAGGGUUUUCCUUCUUGGGCUGAUCAAAUUUCCCAGAAAACACUUUUGUAAUCUCCUGGCUGGAGGGUGAAAUUUGGACUGCCAGACGUGAUGGAGCCACAUGGAGAAGAGGGCUGUGGGGGUCUCAAGACACAGCACUCCUUUAGUCUCCUACUGCGGUUAUGGUGCCCCUCUUCCCAGCGUGUCUGGUACCUCACAUUCCAAAGACCCUCUGUGUUAUCCUCUCCAGAGAAUAAAACUCCAGUCUUUUCCUGGGUCAGGGGCAGUUGCUUUGCAUCGGGGAAUUGGGGAGGAGAUCUGGAAUCCUUUUUAAAUAAGCUUUCAACCAAUUUUCCUCAUGUUAGCCUGCCCUUCACCCCCAUUUCUAGAGGUCCCUGUUGCCACCAGUUCAUGAGCCUGGUGCGGACUCUGCAGGAGAAACUUGGUUGAGUCUUGGCCUUUCCCACUCCUGGCUUGGGAUUCAGCUUUCACAGGUCUGCCAAGUCACUUACCACUCAUUCAUCUGCGUUCCAGCUUUCAAAAUUGUAGUGGCAUUGCAUCCUGUUUUGUUCUCCCUGUCCUUACGGGUUUAGUGCCUUCCUAAAAGCUCUCUUUACUGCCAUUAUAGUCUGAUUUCAGGAGGGAGCCAAAGGAGAUGUGUGUAUUCAAUCCACCCUCAUUAGCCUCAGGUAUUUCUUCUUUAUAUUUGUUUGUUUAUUUGUUUAUUGUCUGUCUUUCCCUCUUGGAUGUGGGUUCCAGGAUAACUUGUCUCUUUCGUUCAACUAUGCAUCCUCAGCCCCUAGAACCGUCUUGACACAGGUAGG
RNAcentral lists this long non-coding RNA (1307 nucleotides) under Equus caballus (horse). RNAcentral describes it as "lncRNA (ENSECAG00000057190.1)". The record is from RNAcentral. Lineage: Eukaryota; Metazoa; Chordata; Mammalia; Perissodactyla; Equidae.